This 253-nucleotide ribosomal RNA is filed under the name uncultured bacterium. RNAcentral describes it as "partial 16S ribosomal RNA". It matches the Rfam family "Bacterial small subunit ribosomal RNA", at positions 524 to 776 of the family's 1533-position model. The record is from RNAcentral.
UACGAAGGGGGCUAGCGUUGCUCGGAUUUACUGGGCGUAAAGCGCGUGUAGGCGGGCGACUAAGUCGGAUGUGAAAUCCCUGGGCUCAACCUAGGAACUGCAUUCGAAACUGGUCACCUAGAGUGAUGGAGAGGAAAGCGGAAUUCCCGGUGUAGAGGUGAAAUUCGUAGAUAUCGGGAGGAACACCAGUGGCGAAGGCGGCUUUCUGGACAUUUACUGACGCUGAGACGCGAAAGCGUGGGGAGCAAACAGG